Molecule: ribosomal RNA, 2134 nt
Filed under: gut metagenome
Description: bacterial LSU rRNA
Rfam family: Bacterial large subunit ribosomal RNA
Source: RNAcentral
UUAAGCUACGAAGAGCGUAGGGUGGAUGCCUUGGCACUUGACGCCGAUGAAGGACGUGACUAACUGCGAUAAGCUGUGGGGAGUUGUAAAUGAACAUUGAUCCACAGAUUUCCGAAUGAGGAAACUCACCAAGAGAAUGUCUUGGUAUCCAUACGUAAAUCCAUAGCGUAUGGAGGGGCACCCGGGGAACUGAAACAUCUCAUUACCCGGAGGAAAAGAAAGAAAACGAUCGAUUCCCUUAGUAGUGGCGAGCGAAAGGGGAAGAGCCUAAACUCAAGCAUAGCGAUAUGUUUGGGGGUUAUGGGCUCGCAUAAUUACGAAGGCCGCAGAGCAGAACGGUUUGGAAAGACCGGCCAAAGAGGGUGAUAGCCCCGUAAGCGGAGGUGACCGAGUAAGGCGAGUUCCGGAGUACCACAGGACACGAGGAAUCCGGUGGGAACAUGGGAGGACCAUCUCCUAAGGCUAAAUACGUCAAGUGACCGAUAGCGAAUAGUACUGUGAAGGAACGGUGAAAAGAACCCCGGGAGGGGAGUGAAAGAGAACCUGAAACCUUAUGCUUACAAGCAGACAGAGCACUACUAUAAAGUGUGAUGUCGUACCUUUUGUAGAAUGGGCCGGCGAGUUACGAUGUGUAGCGAGGUUAAGUGAUUGAGUCACGGAGCCGAAGCGAAAGCGAGUUUGAAAAGAGCGGAAGUUGCAUGUCGUAGACCCGAAACCGGAUGACCUAUCCAUGAGCAGGUUGAAGCAGUGGUAAGACACUGUGGAGGACCGAACACACGCCUGUUGAAAUAGUCGGUGAUGACUUGUGGAUAGCGGAGAAAUUCCAAACGAAUCCGGAUAUAGCUGGUUCUCCUCGAAAUAGCUUUAGGGCUAGCCUCUGUCAAGAAUUCCGAAGGUAGAGCACUGAAUAGGCUAGGGGGUUUCACGACUUACCGAACCUUAUCAAACUUCGAAUGACGGAAAUUUGGUGACAGGGAGUCAGACAGUGGGAGAUAAGUUUCAUUGUCGAAAGGGAAACAGCCCAGAUCCACAACUAAGGUCCCAAAGUACAAGUUAAGUGGUAAAGGAUGUUUUGUCACUAAAACAACCAGGAUGUUGGCUUAGAAGCAGCCACACAUUAAAAGAGUGCGUAAUAGCUCACUGGUCGAGUGAUAAUGCGCCGAAGAUUACCGGGGCUAAAACUUGACACCGAAGUUUGGGGAUACACGCAAGUGUAUCGGUAGAGGAGCAAUGUAUGCGGGCUGAAGCCGUAUCGAAAGGGGCGGUGGACUGCAUACAAGAGAGAAUGCCGGCAUAAGUAGCGCAAGCGGAGCGAGAAACUCCGCCAUCGAAAGUCAAAGGUUUCCUGGGGAAGGUUCGUCCACCCAGGGUAAGUCGGGAGCUAAGUUGAGGCCGAAAGGCGUAGAUGAUGCACAAUCGGUAGAUAUUCCGAUACCACCGAGGAUAUAUACGAAGCAGGGACACAGGAGGAUAGCCGUACCGCGCUGAUGGACAAGUGCGGGCAAGCGUUGAGGCCGGGUGUAGGUGAAGUACCUACAUUCAAAGCUGGGGCGCGAUGCCGACCGAAAUAAAGUAGGGAAGGCGGUGAAUUCACGCUGGCGAGAAAAGCUGCUAAGUUAAGCUGAGGUGCCCGUACCGCAAACCGACACAGGUUGACGAGGAGAAAAUCCUAAGAUGAACGGGAUAACUCUUGUUAAGGAACUCUGCAAAAUGACCCCGUAACUUCGGGAGAAGGGGAGCCACGCGAGUGGCCGCAGUGAAGAGGCUCAAGCGACUGUUUAUCAAAAACACAGGUCUCUGCUAAAUCGCAAGAUGAAGUAUAGGGGCUGACUCCUGCCCAGUGCUGGAAGGUUAAGGGGAAGUGUCAGGGGAAACCCGAAGCACAGAACUUAAGCCCCAGUGAACGGCGGCCGUAACUAUAACGGUCCUAAGGUAGCGAAAUUCCUUGUCAGGUAAGUUCUGACCCGCACGAAUGGAGUAACGACUUGAGCGCUGUCUCAACAGGAGGCCCGGCGAAAUUGUAGUAUACGUGAAGAUGCGUAUUACCCGCGACUGGACGGAAAGACCCCGUAGAGCUUUACUGUAAUUUGAUAUUGAAUUUCGGCAAUUGAUGUACAGGAUAGGUGGGAGACUU